ACGAACGCUGGCGGCGUGCCUAAUACAUGCAAGUAGAACGCUGAAGAGAGGAGCUUGCUCUUCUUGGAUGAGUUGCGAACGGGUGAGUAACGCGUAGGUAACCUGCCUUGUAGCGGGGGAUAACUAUUGGAAACGAUAGCUAAUACCGCAUAACAAUGGAUGACCCAUGUCAUUUAUUUGAAAGGGGCAAAUGCUCCACUACAAGAUGGACCUGCGUUGUAUUAGCUAGUAGGUGAGGUAACGGCUCACCUAGGCGACGAUACAUAGCCGACCUGAGAGGGUGAUCGGCCACACUGGGACUGAGACACGGCCCAGACUCCUACGGGAGGCAGCAGUAGGGAAUCUUCGGCAAUGGGGGCAACCCUGACCGAGCAACGCCGCGUGAGUGAAGAAGGUUGUCGGAUCGUAAAGCUCUGUUGUAAGUCAAGAACGAGUGUGAGAGUGGAAAGUUCACACUGUGACGGUAGCUUACCAGAAAGGGACGGCUAACUACGUG
Molecule: ribosomal RNA, 496 nt
Filed under: uncultured bacterium
Lineage: Bacteria
Description: partial 16S ribosomal RNA
Rfam family: Bacterial small subunit ribosomal RNA
Source: RNAcentral